This is an RNA transcript of Zingiber officinale, 3214 nucleotides long. It is a transcript of the gene named pentatricopeptide repeat-containing protein At5g50280, chloroplastic-like, with no coding region annotated. The record is from RefSeq and is a predicted model, not a curated record. Lineage: Eukaryota; Viridiplantae; Streptophyta; Magnoliopsida; Zingiberales; Zingiberaceae. The transcript has 4 exons.
AAGCAAGCAGCGGCAGCGACCGAAUCUAGCCAUGGAGACGACGGCGCUCCUCCGAGUUCUCGGCCACUUCCCUUCUGCCAUUACAACAGCCGGCGCUGCAUUGCAAUCGCGCAACCCUAAACCUUUUUCACACUUUCCCCCUUUCCGCCGCCCAGCCAUCGAGUUCGAAAUCCGAACAACUCCCCACGUCUCCGCCGUGCCCUCUCCGGCCCCCAUCUUUCUCCCUCAUCUCCAGUUCGAUGACGACGGCGAGCUCGAAUUCCACCACCACCAACGCCAGCAACAAGGACAACAAGUAGUGGAGGAGGAGGAUGGCGAGGAAGACGAUGGGGAAGGACUUUCCGAUUCUAUCCUCGAUUUCUUCAAGUCCCGCUCGUCCUUGACUGAGGACCCAAAGAAGGAAGGUCGCUUCUCUCUACAGAGCAAUCGACGCACCUCUUGGCACCUUGCCGAUGUCGAACAUGCCGCUGAUAUCGUGGAGGAAGAGCCAGCGGUCGCUUCCCCUUCUGGCGUCACAGAGCCUCCGCAGUCGAUCAAUUUUGGAGUCUUCGACGAGAUAUUGGCCGUCGCAAGUAGCCUCCCAGAAAACGCCACAUUGGGGGAUUUCCUGGGGCCUUAUGCUGGGAAGGUCGGAGAAGGAGACUGCAUCGAGCUGCUGGUGAGGAUGGGGGAGGAGGGCUUGGCUUCCGCGUGCUUGUACUUGUUUGAAUGGAUGGGGCUGCAGGAGCCAUCGCUGGUGACGCCGAGGUCCUGUUCGGUCUUGUUCCCUGUAUUAGGGAGAUCUGGGAUGGGAGAUAAGCUAAUGAUUCUCUUUCAAAACUUGCCCAAAGCUAAAAGGUUCAGGGAUAUAUGCGUCUACAACUCUGCAAUUUCUGGCCUUGCAUCCUGUGGGAGGUAUGAUGAUGCACAGAAAGUGUAUGACAUUCUUGAAGCCAACAAUAUUAAGCCAGAUCAUGUGACUUGUUCGAUUAUGUUAACUGUCAUGAGAAAGAGCGGUACAAAUGGAAAGGAUGCUUGGGAAUACUUUCAAAGAAUGAAUAGAAAAGGUGUCAAAUGGAGUUUGGAGGUUAUUGGAGCUCUAAUUAAGUUCUUUUGUGAUGAAGGAUUGAAGAAGGAAGCUCUCAUCAUUCAAGCAGAAAUGGAAAAGAAAGGAAUUACAUCAAAUAUCAUAAUUUACAACACCUUGAUGGAUGCUUAUAGUAAAUCUGACCAGGUUGAAGAGGUAGAAGGAAUCUUUCUUGAGAUGAAAGAAAAAGGACAAAAGCCAACAACGGUAACCUAUAACAUUUUAAUGGAUGCCUACAGCAGAAGGAUGCAACCUGAAAUAGUUGAUUCUCUAAUAUCUGAGAUGCAAAAUGUAGGCUUAAAGCCUAAUGUCAAAUCAUAUACUUGUCUUAUAAAUGCCUAUGGAAGGAAGGGGAAAAUGAGUGACAUGGCAGCAGACUCAUUCUUGCGGAUGAGAAAGGCAGGAAUUAAGCCCACAUCACACUCCUAUACUUCCUUGAUCCAUGCAUAUUCAGUUGGAGGAUGGCCUGAAAAAGCAUAUGCUACAUAUGAAAAAAUGAAAAGAGAUGGAGUUCCUCCCUCCAUAGAAGCUUAUACAACUUUGCUUGAUGCAUUUAGGCGAGUUGGCAACAUUGAUAGAUUAGUAGAAAUUUGGAAAGCAAUGAUCGGCGACAAGGUUCAAGGCACAAGAGUUACAUUUAAUAUUAUCCUGGAUGGUUUGGCAAAACAUGGUCUUUAUGUUCAAGCAAGAGAUGUGAUACAUGAAUUUCAAAAAUUUGGCUUGCAGCCAACAGUCAUGACUUAUAACAUGCUGAUGAAUGCAUAUGCAAGGGGAGGACAACACUAUAAAUUGCCACAAUUGUUGAAAGAGAUGGGUGCUCUCAAUUUGAAGCCUGAUUCAAUAACUUAUUCCACAAUAAUAUAUGCAUUUGUUCGUGUACGUGAUUUUAGUAGAGCAUUUUAUUAUCACAAGCAAAUGAUCAGAAGCGGGCAGGUUCCUGAGGUUCGAUCCUAUCAGAAAUUGCGAGCUAUUUUGGAAGUCAAAGCUACAACAAAAAAUAGGAGAGAUAGAAGUGCUAUUCUUGGAAUACUAAAUAGCAAUUUUGGAUUAAAACCCAAGAAGGGGAAAAAGGAUGCAUUCUGGAAGAACAGAAAAAAGAGAUUAAUGAGGAACAGGGAGCUUGGUGAUAAAAGAGUAAUCUUGUGAAAGUCUUGUAAAAAUCAAGCAUACGAUGAACAUGCUCUGGCCCAUGUUUCUUCUUCAUGAGAACACUAGCUCUAGACGAGAUGGAAUCUCAGAUCAAGUACAAACCAGAAGGGCAUUUAAUCUCCAAACAAUUUGCACAAGGAUUUUUCACCUGUUCUUUGAAGAAGAAGAUUGCUCCUAAGUGGAUAGGUUGUUGAUUAUCUAUUUUAUUUCUGUUAUGUAUAAUUCUGAGGACUUUGCUGUUUUAAAUGCUCCUGAAGAACCUGUUGCAGUGGGGUUACCUGCCUCCGGUGUUGAUAUAACUGUUGGUGAUACUUCUAAACUGGUUCUGGGUCGUGUUUUGGAUGAUGGCAUUGCAUGUAACAAUAGUUUUACUUGUUUGGACUUCCCUUCCAUGGAUGAAUUCUACAAUUGAUGACUUUUGUAUGUUCCAUGAUCCUUGGCCCUCUAAGAUUGAUCUAUCAGGUGGUGAUGGUGUGAAUUGCUUCGGGAAUUGUCACGAAUGGGAAAAGAUGUAUAAGAAUUCUGCUGGGCCUUUUCAUUGUGGGAGCUCUCAAAUGCUCUCUUUGUUGCAAUAAAGGAACUAAUAUAUGAAGUCCUAUAAUCCGGAUGGCAUUUUCAUUUUGGAAACUCAUGUUUGUGAGAAUAAGGCUGCUGGAAUUUCCAAGCUGAUUUCUGAUUGUUUUUCGUUAUGGAGGUAUUGAAGAUGAUCCAGAAGGAGAAUAUGGUUGCUAUGGAAUUAUAUAUCAAGUUUAUCAGGGGAUUUGGAAGGCUUCUGUCACUGAUGGAUUUGGUAGACAACCCUCCAAAGGCAAGUUUGAAGUGGUCAAGGGAGUUGGGGGAGUUCUCAAACUGAAAGAUGAAUUGUUGACUAAUCCUGAACUUGAGGAGUCUCAUAUGAGAAAAAAAAAAAAUCCUGUGAUAAUGUUUUUCUCUUGGAGAUUCUAAUUCGAAAUGUUAUUGAUUCUAAGACAUGGUAAGAAGCCAUCUAAAGGGAUCAAA